RNAcentral lists this long non-coding RNA (1016 nucleotides) under Olea europaea subsp. europaea. The record is from RNAcentral. Lineage: Eukaryota; Viridiplantae; Streptophyta; Magnoliopsida; Lamiales; Oleaceae.
GCGGUCCAAUUGAUCGACGAUCACCUCCGCCAAGGGAAUCACCAUCGUAGAGGAGAUCUCUUUCUCCCCGUCCAAACACGUCCUCUAUUGAUCUCCUACACACAGUCAAAGUCAUUAUUUCGAUAAUCUAUGUGCUCGCCUAAUUAGAUUUAUAGCACAGGAGGUCGACGCACUGCGAUGAGAGUUGAUAGGAAAGGUUGACGAUUUGUUACGAGAGUUGAUAAGAAUGGUCGACGAUUUAUUCAAUGAUGUUCGAGUGCUACGGGGCCACUUUGUAGACUGAGGGUAAGAGAGGAUAACAUAGAAGACAGGUGAUGGGGUGCCAGAAAGGGUGACAAAGAAGUGAUAUAGAAAGUAGGCGAUGGGACGCCAGAAAGGGUAAGGGAGAAGGGACCACCCACAGUUGUGGCCAGAUGAUGCAUUAGAAUCAUUUUUGUUAUCUUUGGAAUGAGAGCUUGUGGCCCUGAUGGGAGGAGAGGUGGCAAUCCCCAAGGCGGAUGAGGUGGUGAUCUCUAGUGGAAAGAUUGGGGUAAGAAGUAUGUCGCUGGCAUGCCAAAGUAGGUGGUCGACAAGAGGCUGAUAUUGCCAUCGCAAUACGUCGUUUCUCCGUUUAUGGCUGAGGUGGAAGUUCAUCGACAGGACGUACCCCAAUCUAUUUCGAAAAGUGGACAAUGCUAAGUAGAAAGCAUUCGAGAUGAAGUAUAGAAGAAUUUUGCUGGGGUAAGUAUUUUAUGAAUUUAGUAAUUAUGCUAUGCUAACUCAUAUAUGCUUCUUUUAACAUUUUCUCUGUUUCUUUUUCAGAGCUAGCCACAUGAUAGCUGAAAGGAUAAUCCCAAACGUUUACAAGUGGUUCCAUAACAUCACUACUUUGGGAACUUGGCUCCUCGACGAUAUAAGCGAAGAAAUCAUAUUGUUAUUUUUAUGUAUACAUAAUUUUUUGUUUAUCAAAUGAAAUAACUCUCUUUUUUUAUUGUUGUUUCUUGGUAUAGCACUUUGACUUGUCCAUGAACUUGUUG